RNAcentral lists this long non-coding RNA (2357 nucleotides) under Anneissia japonica. Its description in RNAcentral is "uncharacterized LOC117124578, transcript variant X1". The record is from RNAcentral. Lineage: Eukaryota; Metazoa; Echinodermata; Crinoidea; Comatulida; Comatulidae.
AAACUUAGUGUCAACUUGCUACAUACCCCAGCCAAGUAGUUGUUUGUCGCAGUAUACACCCACUACAUACACAGGAACAGCUGUGUUUACGCCAACCUGACGCAUUAUUCUACACAAAAGAAAACAAAGUUGAAAAGUACCAGUCGUGUCGUCACAAUGCCAGGUGGUGCCUUCUGUUGUCAACCAGACGUUGGAUACUGUUCAUUAUGCCAUAAUGACUUCAUAGGCUUUCUUGAACAGGUAAACAGUUGAUCGAAAAUGACAAUGCAGUCUACUAACAGAAUGAGAGGAAGUAUAGAUGGGGGAAAACCUUGGAACAAUCUGGGAAUGGAUGGAUAAUGCCAGGAAGUUGACAGGGAAAGCGAUUAACCCAGUAUCUGACCUUCUAGGCUGGUGAAGACAUUCCCACAACUCAACUGUACAUGUGGUAACCCUUACUGCUGGUAAAGACGAAUAUGAUGUCAAAUAAAAAUUUGUUUAUAACUUAACCAGCACACCAGGCAGAAAUCCACUGCCUUAUGGUCGAUGAUGUGAAUAAGUAGGUGGAGGUUAGCUAACACAGCACUCUAUAUAUCCACAGGCUUAGCCGAGUCAAGCAGUACAUUAGAAAAGGCAAAUGACAACCACACAGGGUAUAAAUCACUAGUUAAUACCCGGCCAUUACUAGCAACAAAACCUGGGUUCGAUAUAUAGGUAGCUCUGCUAACUAGUUUCGCUAGCUGCUUAUCUACACAAAAGCUUGUUCAUAUACGUAAUUUGCCCUGGGCUACCAUUAUUAAUGAAUUAUAAAUCCAUUAUCUUAAUAGUAUAAAACUGAAUUUUAACUAGAUUAUCAGUAAAUGACUGCAAAGCAUUGGGUAAGUUGCAUUGCCUGAGAACAAAAUGUCUUUUGACAUGGGAUCCAUGUCAGGUCGAGUGACAACUGCUGGAUUUCGCACAACUCCGGCUGGAAUUGAACCAAUGACAGCCUCAUAUCAGGACAGGUGUCUAAACCUUAUGACCACAGCAAUAAUGAAAGAGAACGAUCUGGCCAACAAAGGAAUACUGUAGAUUACAAAAUCAAUGACUAAACAUGUAUAGUGAAACUUUCAUAUCAAAAUAAAGUUAUUGUCUUAAGAUGUUGAACAUAUGUAUACAAAUUGUAAUUGUGUGUGUAAAUAUGAUGACAUGUUAUAAUUUGGUUUGUUAAGGAAAUGUAUACUAAACCAUCAUAAAUAUUAUAUUAAUAAUCUUAAAAUAUAUAUCAUUUUCAUUAUAUUUCAUCAUAUCAUGUUACUUUUUGCGUAGAAAAAAAAAACCUAUUUGUAUAUAUUUUCAACAUUGCAUUUGAUUUCUAUUAGAUAAUCUAUAACUCAGCCCACCUGAAUUAAUAGAUGAAUAAAUAAAUAAAUACAUAAAAACACAAUAGGCUAUAAAGUCACUUUUAACUUCUAUAACCCCCUAAAGCAGGAGAUGAAUUAAUGGAAAUCAAUAUGGUACCUAGUUAAGGCUAUUCUUUAAAUUAUUUAUCAUAUGCUAUAUUUUAAUAAUUAUCUAUUUUCCUUUAUAUAUUAUUUUGUUAAAAGCACCAAAAGCUAUAGUUAUAUAGCAUUUUUACUUGUUUAAAAAAAAUGUACCACUAGGUAAUUAUUGAAGUUAUAUUAUGCAUUUCUGCAGCUUUUUAUGGACAGGCUCCUUGGUUAGUAUAAAUAUAAUACAUUUUAUAGGAUUAGUUAUUACAAUUAGUAUUGUUAUUACUGUUGUUAUUAUUUUCCUUUAACCUAAGUUACAGUGAAUGGAGGCUAUAGAUUGUAGGCUAUAGAAUGCAAGUCCUCAACCACUGUCAUUUAAAAAGUUGGAAAAUCUAAAAAGUCACUGGUUCGAUUUUUCUAAAUCAAUCCAUAUUUUCUUUGCUUCGUUAGUUAAUAAUACAAUCACAAAGAUGACUCAUGACUGAUUGUUUACAAAGUCAUAAACAGACAACCAAAUAGAUGGACGUCAACAUAGACAGAUUGAUAGAUUAAUGGAUGGGUGGGUGAAUGAAUGAAGUGAGAGAAUCGAUCAGUUUAAAGUUUAAAGUAGGAUCUAUACACACAAGGUGGUGAUAGGAUUAAGAUGAUGACGUAGCCCAUACUAGUUCCUUUCUUCGCAAUGUUCCUAGAACCACCUCUGACAAAAAGGUGCGAUGCAAUCAAAAAAUUUGGAAAGCGGAUCUCAUGAUAUAGUUACGUAUAGGGAUUUUGAGAAUACAUAAAACCAAUCUGUAUCUCUCGUUCUGGACACGACUCAGAGCUGCAAUUUGAAAAAUGUAGGGAGAUUAUUUAAUACUAAAGCUUUCCUAUUAAAAUUUAUGAAGCCAAACAUUGUAAUUAUUAUAA